Molecule: ribosomal RNA, 261 nt
Filed under: uncultured archaeon
Lineage: Archaea
Description: partial 16S ribosomal RNA
Rfam family: Archaeal small subunit ribosomal RNA
Source: RNAcentral
AGGGUGUAAACGCUGCCGACUUGGUGUUGGAGGCCCUUCGGGGGCAUUCAGUGCCGGAGAGAAGUUGUUAAGUCGGCCACUUGGGGAGUACGUCCGCAAGGAUGAAACUUAAAGGAAUUGGCGGGGGAGCACCGCAACGGGAGGAGCGUGCGGUUUAAUUGGAUUCAACACCGUAAAACUCACCAGGGAAGACUGUUACAUGAAAGCCGAGAUGAAGACUCUGCUAGAUUUUCAGAGAGGAGGUGCAUGGCGUCAGUGACU